RNAcentral lists this ribosomal RNA (207 nucleotides) under uncultured bacterium. RNAcentral describes it as "partial 16S ribosomal RNA". It matches the Rfam family "Bacterial small subunit ribosomal RNA", at positions 568 to 774 of the family's 1533-position model. The record is from RNAcentral.
CGUGUAGGCGGUCCGCUAAGUCUGAUGUGAAAGCCCGAGGCUUACCCUCGGAAGUGCAUUGGAGACUGGCGGACUAGAGUCCCGGAGAGGAGGGUGGAAUUCCUGGUGUAGCGGUGAAAUGCGUAGAUAUCAGGAGGAACACCGGUGGCGAAGGCGGCCCUCUGGACGGUGACUGACGCUGAGACGCGAAAGCGUGGGGAGCAAACA